AAGACUAUACUUUCAGGGAUCAUUUCUAUAGUAUUUAACUAGGAAAUGUGUUUCGAAAGUGUUAUGUCUCCCAGACCACGAUGAAGAGUUUUGAUACUUCUUUCUGAGCGUGAAUCGAAUUCAGAGUAAUGAUUUAUGUCAUACGCUUUGUUUUAUUGAUGAACGUUCCCCAAUGCAUUUUGUAUUGCGGAUGGAAGGAGUAUGUGCGGAGUGGU
Xyrauchen texanus (razorback sucker) is the source of this 215-nucleotide small nucleolar RNA. RefSeq annotates it as small nucleolar RNA U3. The record is from RefSeq and is a predicted model, not a curated record. The transcript has a single exon. NCBI's taxonomy places the organism in Eukaryota, Metazoa, Chordata, Actinopteri, Cypriniformes, Catostomidae.